AUUGAACGCUGGCGGCAUGCCUUACACAUGCAAGUCGAACGGUAACGGGCCUUCGGGUGCCGACGAGUGGCGAACGGGUGAGUAAUACAUCGGAACGUGCCCGAUCGUGGGGGAUAAAGGGUCGAAAGCUUGUCCAAAUCCGAAAACGGUCUACGUGCGAAAGGGGGGGGCCUCAAGGCCUCCGGCGGCUGGGGAGGCCGUUGGCGGCUUUGGUCGUUGUUGGGAUAAAAGCUUACAAAGCCGACGAUCUGUAGCUGGUCUGAGAGGAUGAUCAGCCACACUGGGACUGAGACACGGCCCAGACUCCUACGGGAGGCAGCAGUGGGGAAUGUUGGACAAUGGGCGCAAGCCUGAUCCAGCCAUGCCGCGUGCAGGAUGAAGGCCUUCGGGUUGUAAACUGCUUUUGUACGGAACGAAAAGCCUUCUUUUAAUACAGGGGGGUCAUGACGGUACCGUAAGAAUAAGCACCGGCUAACUACGUG
This 482-nucleotide ribosomal RNA is filed under the name uncultured bacterium. Its description in RNAcentral is "partial 16S ribosomal RNA". It matches the Rfam family "Bacterial small subunit ribosomal RNA", at positions 30 to 507 of the family's 1533-position model. The record is from RNAcentral.